Molecule: ribosomal RNA, 497 nt
Filed under: uncultured bacterium
Lineage: Bacteria
Description: partial 16S ribosomal RNA
Rfam family: Bacterial small subunit ribosomal RNA
Source: RNAcentral
GAUGAACGCUGGCGGCGUGCCUAAUACAUGCAAGUCGAGCGAACGGACGAGAAGCUUGCUUCUCUGAUGUUAGCGGCGGACGGGUGAGUAACACGUGGAUAACCUACCUAUAAGACUGGGAUAACUUCGGGAAACCGGAGCUAAUACCGGAUGAUAUUUUGAACCGCAUGGUUCAAAAGUGAAAGACGGUCUUGCUGUCACUUAUAGAUGGAUCCGCGCUGCAUUAGCUAGUUGGUAAGGUAACGGCUUACCAAGGCAACGAUGCAUAGCCGACCUGAGAGGGUGAGCGGCCACGCUGGAGCUGAGACACGGGCCAGACUCCUACGGGAGGCAGCAGUAGGGAAUCUUCCGCAAUGGGCGAAAGCCUGACGGAGCAACGCCGCGUGAGUGAUGAAGGUCUUCGGAUCGUAAAACUCUGUUAUUAGGGAAGAACAUAUGUGUAAGUAACUGUGCACAUCUUGACGGUACCUAAUCAGAAAGCCACGGCUAACUACGUG